RNAcentral lists this long non-coding RNA (1408 nucleotides) under Heterocephalus glaber (naked mole-rat). RNAcentral's name for it is "lncRNA (ENSHGLG00100043972.1)". Lineage: Eukaryota; Metazoa; Chordata; Mammalia; Rodentia; Bathyergidae. The record is from RNAcentral.
GAAAAGACAGGAGAUUCCAGUCCUUCUGCAGAGGCUUUCUCCAAGCCCCCAGUACACUCAGCACCUCCCCCAGCCCUUGGUGGCUGGGGACCUGGCCUGGCUCUUGGGCAGCUGCUGGCAGCAAGGAGCAGAGACAUUUAGCCUUCAGCGGGGCCCGGGGCCAGACUUCGACCAAGAGGACAUCAGAGGACAUAGCCUCAGAGAGACCAAGCCCCAGACAGCCUGAGACAGACCAACUGAAACACAGCGCCAGGCCCGUGGAAGGAGAAAAGGAAAUGGAGGAUGAGAAUAAGCAGAAAAAAGGGAAGAAUUAAAGAAAAGAAGGAAAGCAAGAGGAAAAGAGAUAGGAGAGCAGGGAAAGGAAGGCAUGCAGAGACCAAGGAGGAGGAAGGGCAGCAAUACGCAGGAAGGACGCAACGGGGCAGGGCUUGAGCUGGUGCUGGCGGAGCAGAGCAGCCGUGGCAUUGUGCAGUCUGCUUGCUUGCUGGGCCUUUGCCGAGGGACCAGCUCUGGGGCGCGGCAGCCACUUCUGUCUGGACACAAAGGAGGAAGAGGCCUCCUUUCCUGUCCCUCUUGGGGACCUGGCUCUGCACUCCUGGGGAACCUGAGGGACCUGAGGCGCUGGGAGUCCCUGUUGGGAGGCGGGGAAACUCCAGCUCUGGCUAGCAGCUCUGUACUGCUCUGCUUCUUAGCGGUCCCCUCCCACGCCCAGAGGAUUUCACUGGGCACCGGAGAGUCCGCUAAGGGGGAGUGGCACCUUUCCUGCAUCACCUCAAACCUGGACAGCUGAGACCACAAUCAAGCUAGCAUCGCGGGAAGGACAGACAGAAAGACAGGAAAUUUGCAGUGACUUUGGAGCCCAGACUGAGGAAGCCGAGGUGGCGAAAGGAGAGACAAUACGGUCCCGAAGUACAAUUAAGGAGCCAGAGCUGCUCCUCUCUCCCCCGCCCUCCUUGCCAGACUGCGAGCUGUCUGGUCUCCAACCUCUGGGCGACUCGCGAACCUGGAGCCAGAAACUCAGCCCGAGGCGGAGGGCGCCAGAGGACUCCGCACCCAGAAAACCAGGAGGGAAGCUGCCUUCCAACCUGGGGGGCACCGUAACCAGCCCCGCUGAGAUGCAGCGAAUCCAAUGAAUGAAUGUGCACAUUCCGACGACGAAUUUUCCCGAAUUUUCUCAGCCUUUGGAAGGAGAGCCCAGGGUUUGGGACAUCUCAGACAGACAGUCAGACAGACAGGCAAACCGCAUCUCCUGAGGCAGACAGGCUCACAACAUGAGUGUGAGCCUGAAAUCAUAUACAGGUUCAACAUUCCCGAGGCCUCUUUGCCCGGCCUGGCGGGCGCCGAUCUCUCCUACCUUCACUCCUGCCAGGGCCUCAGGCAGAGACCCAUAGGACUCGGUCCCGCUGGC